Molecule: RNA transcript, 4258 nt
Organism: Chrysemys picta bellii (western painted turtle)
Lineage: Eukaryota; Metazoa; Chordata; Testudines; Emydidae
Gene: GLDN
Gene name: gliomedin
Source: RefSeq, a predicted model, not a curated record
CGCCUCUCCCAUUCAUUCCGCCUCGUCACCCCGGGCGGCUCUGUGGCUGGCGGUGGAAGCAGCCCACGGUGCCCGGGGCCAUAAAGCCCGUCCCGGAGCCGAAGCCAGCGAGUCCCCUGCCCGCUAGCGCCGGGGAGCCGCAGCCGCUCGACCUCGCAGGAUCGUGCCCGAGCGCGCCUCCGGGCCGGGGAUGCCGGGGGACGGCGGCCGGGCGCUGCGCUGCUUGCUGGCCGCAGUGGGGCUGCUCUCGGCGCUGAGCGCCGCGGGGACGCUCUUCCUGCUGGGCCAGUGGAGGGAGCUGAGCGCGGCGCUGCGGGAGCUGGAGGCUGCGCGGCCCCAGGGGGGAGACACUGACAGCAUCCUGCGGUCCCUCUUGGGCCCCACCGCCCCGGGGGCAGCGGCCCCAGGAGCCGCCCGGCACAAGAGGAGCCACCGCGGAGCGGGCGCCAGGGGCCACGUUCGGGCCGAGAACGACGAGUUGCUCAUGAUGAUGACCUACUCCAUGGUGCCGGUCCGUGUGAUGGUGGAUUUAUGUAACAGCACAAAAGGGAUAUGCUUAACAGGCCCUCCAGGCUCCCCAGGGCCUCCUGGACUCGAUGGAUUACCUGGCUACAAUGGAUCAGAUGGCAUCCCUGGCAUCCCAGGGCCAAAGGGGGAACCAGGAAUAAAUGGAAGAAGAGGAAAAAUAGGUUUACCAGGACCAAAAGGCGAUCCAGGAGAGAAAGGAGAAAAAGGAGACCCUGGUGAACUGGGCUUACCUGGCAAAGACGGGAUGCCAGGAGGGAAAGGUUCAAGAGGCGCAAAGGGGGACAAAGGGGAUGCAAACAAUGACGUGAUAUCAGAAGGUGCAAAGGGAGAGCCAGGGCCCCCAGGGCCCCCAGGGCCGCAAGGUCCUCCCGGGCCACCAGGGAAGCGCAAAGCAAAAUCCCAGGUUCAGGAGAACAUGUACAGCAGCAAGUGCACAGGUGAGACAUGUGCCAUACCAAAUGAUGACACGCUGGUAGGAAAAGCUGAUGAGAAAACCAAUGGAUACCAACCAAAAAAAGCUGAAUGCAUCGUUAAAUCAAUAGGAAGUCCCACUGAGAUGGGUAAGAUACAGCAAACAUUUGGAACAUGGAUGAGGGAACCCGCAAAUAGAAGUGAUGACAGAAUUUGGCUUACGAUGCAUUUUUCAGGAAACUUCAUAAAAGAAUAUGAGAAUGCAAACGCAUUGCUGAAUGACAGCUACAGGAUCAUUAACCUCACGGGGAUCUUUUAUGGAUGUGGCCAUGUGAUAUAUAACAACUGCCUAUACUAUCAAAAAGGAGGAACCAGUAUCAUUGUGAAAUUUGAGCUUGAUACAGCAUCAUUCAGAACCCUGAGAAUUGAAAAUGCCUUACACGAUAGUCGCCACUACCUCUUUUCUAACGCUAAGACGUACUUCAACGUGGCAGUGGAUGAAAAGGGUCUUUGGAUUAUCUAUGCCUCAAGUAUUGAUGAAAAUAUCAUUGUAGCACAUAUUGACGAAGAGACAUUUUCAGUCGUUCAGCAUAUCAACACUACAUACCCCAAGUCCAAAGCUGGCAAUGCAUUCAUAGCAUGUGGAGUGCUAUAUGUUACUGAUACUAAGGAUAUGAGGGUAACUUUUGCUUUUGAUUUGUUGAGAGAGAAGCAAAUCGAUGCAAGCUUUGAGUUAAGAUCAGCACAAUCUGUUCUUGCUAUGCUUUCAUAUAGUCUAAGAGAUAGAGACUUGUAUACAUGGGAAAAUGGCUAUUUAAUGCAAUACCAUGUACAUUUUGACAGCUGAAUGCUAUUUUAAAAUGAUACAUCAUGCUGGCCAUAUUGGGCUAAGUAGGUUAUUUAAAGCUGUAUCUUAUACAUCUCCUCCCUGCAGAAUACACACAUUUUCUAUUGAUGGUUAGUGGUUGUUUGUGUGUGCAUAAAGGGGAGACCAGACUCCCUUGUGUCAUUUAAAUAUACUUAAAUUAUAUAGGCAAUUCUUAGCUUUAUAGAGGAAGAGCUGUGUGUUAGAAACUUAUUUUUGUUUUUUUCCCUACCAUGCAGGACAUAAUUAUAUCUACUGUCUACUGAUUAUUCUACAAUACUAUGUUCAAUAGGGUCUGUUUUUACUCUUAAUUUACAAUUACUGUCUACAAUUAUCUUCUAGUCAGUGAUUAUAGCUUAGUAUAAAUGUCUAAACAAUGUUUACAAAUAAGCUUCUUUGUAUCAUUUCCAUUUAAUACCUUGCAUCAACUCUGAAUUUUGUUUAGUUGUGAUAUUUUUUAAAAAAUUGAUGUACAGUGAUUAAAAUGAUCAGGGACAGUAAUUUUUGUACUAAAGUAAAUACCGUAAAGACCAAAGUAAUAGUUUAUUAAAAACUCAUUCCAUAUUUAUAAGUCAAAAUAGAAAAAAGCAAGAAUCCUGAAAUUUGACAAAUCUGGCUAACUACUAAAUAACCACAAAGCAAAUAGAGAGGUGAUGUAAAUGUUGGCUAGUGAAAUGUGAACUCAGGUACUCAGUGGGAGGAGGUGCUACACUCGGAAAUGUAGUCAGAGCAGGUGAAGCUCCUUUUAUUUAUCUUUUUUUUUUUUGGAUUGCUUAUCUUGAGCUAACCUCAUCUUUCUCACCAUUUUAUGGAAGUGUAACUUGCCCUACUAUGCUUCCAAGAAAUUGGGCCCAAAUUUACACAAAACUCCUAGUCACAAAUGAAGACUCUACUGUUGUAUUAGCAUAUUAUAUAAAAAAACAGCAACCUAAAACUUUGAAUGAGAGUGAAUGUACUGGUCAAAGUGCUUGAUGAUGAAAUUGGUUGUCCUGCUUAACUUUAGUCUUGGAUUACAUUCAAAUAUAGCCAGGAACUUUUGAUCUUGAUCACUAGGAAAAACAACAUUUUAGAGGCUGGAAGGGAUUAAAUUUGUUUGGCCUUUAAGAAUAAUGUAUUUAGUAGUUUGACUACUAGCAACUAGGCUAUGUAGCUCUUUGUUUAAAUUGCGUGGUUUGAAACUCUACUCCAUUUCAUAUUGGUUGAGCCUGAUUCAUCACUGGCUUGAGCCCUGCAUAGUCAUGUAGUCACACUUGCGCAAAGCAGGUGUAAUAUGUUACCACGUUAAAAUGGUAGCAUUUAACACUCACUUUUAAAUGGGUGUAAAUGACAGCACAAGGCAGAGGUGAAUCAGGCCUUUGUGUUUAAGGCAAACAGGCCAGAGUUUCAACAUCCAUGUGUUCUACAGCACCAUGUGAAGGAAUUUAAUUAACUUCAGAUCCAUUGGUAUCUUUACAAGCUGAUAAAAACAAGUCAACAGUUCCCAGGAACGGCUGUACCGGCCAGCUGCCAGUGCAUAUCUCAUUUGAAAAAAGAAAAGCAUAUUGGAUAUGAUUAUCAGACCUAUACAACGUUAAACUGAGAGAUUGGCCUAAAAAAGCAUCAUAAGAUGGAAACCUCCCCCAUCAAUGCAGCCACCUGCACAGGCAGGUGACCUUCACUAGCAAUUUGCCCCUGCCUAUCUCAAUGCUCCCACACUAAAAAGAAGUCAGCACCAACCUUUCAAAUUAAACAUCAGGCAAAGGAACAUUGUUGAAUGGGUUAUGUUCUCAGUGUCACUCAUAUUUUUUAGAGUUGUCACAAAAUAGUGAUGUGCCAUCUACAAUGUAUCUUACUGUCUAUAGAAAAAGGUAGGUUAUUUAUGAGCAACAGCUUUCUGUGAUGAUUUGAGGAAAUUUUCUGUGGACAACAAAUGAAUUCUGUUGAAAUUAUGAACAUCUGUUUGCAUCAGCCUGCAGAUGCCAUUUUGAAUGUGGGGGUUGGUUACCUUCUCUGAUGUUUUACCACCAUGUUUUCCAAGGGAGGUAGUAGCACAGGGCUAACAAUGUAAGGUUGUUAAAUCUUGAUAGCUCUCUAGUCAAAUAGGAGGCUCCUAAACAAAAGGCUGACUUCUGCCAGAAGUUAGUUUAUCAGGGGAAUCACCUGGUGAGAGGUCUAUGCUCACCUUUGUGACUGAUCAGGUGGUCACAUGACAGAGGAGACUGGUAGUUUAUAAAAGGACAGGAGGGCAGUCCUCUGGUUUUUUGGUUAUUUUUCACCACCUCAAGCUGUUGGAAGCUGUUUCAGGAGCUUGAGGAGGCCAGAGCUCACUGAUCACAGUUGAACCCCACCAAAGACUUCCAAGGUAAGGGUGAACUAGAGUGAAAGGCACUGCAGCUGGAGUGCUAGUUUUCUCUGUGCGCUCCUGUACUUUCUCUCUUAAGAAUUGAAUUGCGACUAUGUAAACAACUCCCUUUU